GACGUGGCGGCGUGCUAUAAUGCAAGUCGAACGAAACUUCUUUAUCACCGAGUGCUUGCACUCACCGAUAAAGAGUUGAGUGGCGAACGGGUGAGUAACACGUGGGCAACCUGCCCAAAAGAGGGGGAUAACACUUGGAAACAGGUGCUAAUACCGCAUAACCAUAGUUACCGCAUGGUAACUAUGUAAAAGGUGGCUAUACUACCGCUUUUGGAUGGGCCCGCGGCGCAUUAGCUAGUUGGUAGGGUAAAGGCUUACCAAGGCAAUGAUGCGUAGCCGAAUUGAGAGGUUGAUCGGCCACAUUGGGACUGAGACACGGCCCAAACUCCUACGGGAGGCAGCAGUAGGGAAUCUUCCACAAUGGGCGAAAGCCUGAUGGAGCAACGCCGCGUGGGUGAAGAAGGUCUUCGGAUCGUAAAACCCUGUUGUUAGAGAAGAAAGUGCGUGAGAGUAACUGUUCACGUUUCGACGGUAUCUAACCAGAAAGCCACGGCUAACUACGUGCCAGCAGCCGCGGUAAUACGUAGGUGGCAAGCGUUAUCCGGAUUUAUUGGGCGUAAAGGGAACGCAGGCGGUCUUUUAAGUCUGAUGUGAAAGCCUUCGGCUUAACCGGAGUAGUGCAUUGGAAACUGGGAGACUUGAGUGCAGAAGAGGAGAGUGGAACUCCA
RNAcentral lists this ribosomal RNA (668 nucleotides) under uncultured bacterium. RNAcentral describes it as "bacterial SSU rRNA". It matches the Rfam family "Bacterial small subunit ribosomal RNA", at positions 32 to 671 of the family's 1533-position model. The record is from RNAcentral.